This is a long non-coding RNA of Paramormyrops kingsleyae, 1411 nucleotides long. RefSeq lists it as uncharacterized. Lineage: Eukaryota; Metazoa; Chordata; Actinopteri; Osteoglossiformes; Mormyridae. The record is from RefSeq and is a predicted model, not a curated record.
GGAGAGUUGGGCCGCGUGUUCCUGCCGUUGUUUUUCUUACGGCCGGAGACUGAGAAACGAUGCGGAGGAAGAGGGGUACCUUCCACCUCCUCUGGCUUAACGGAUCCACACCGGAACGCCUGUCGGGUUCUGAAGACGGAGCGGUCAGAUUUUGGUCUGCCCUGGUUUUUACGAGUACCCUGCCCUUUUUCAAGCCAAUCAAACCUGCUGAUGUCGAACUUUUAUAGUGUCCUGAACACAGCCCCAUUUUGCCUCCGCGCUCACUGCGCUUCUAGGUUAUACCUUAACUGAAAAUACUUUUCCGGUGUCUGUUCUCAGGGAAAAUGGGAGUAAAUGGCUACGCAUGGAAGGUGGACCUAUUGAAGCCAGUGGAAGCUCCACGAGUGCAGCUGGAGGAGAUCCGGUCAAUCUCGGGGGGCCCUGCACACUGUCCAUGUCAUCGGGAUGGGCCGGGUGUGAGUGGUUUUAAAGCCCCCACCCUCGUAACAGAUGUGACUUCAACAGAAUACUGAUGCUUCCUCGAACCUUUGGGAGAUGGCGGAUUCCGGGGCGUCUGCUCGCUGAAUUCAGUGGCUUUCAGAGGCGAUCUCGCAAAGGAUGGAACAUGCCGGGGUUUUCUUCAAAUGAGCAUUUCAUUUGGAGGCCAGCGUUUUGAGAGGGGACCCAACAUAAAAGGAAAAAUCAAUUCAGGGACGCCGAACCAUCCUUGAAGGAAAAAGCCACACCACCAGCCUGCCCAUCUGAAUUCAGUGCAGACACAUUCCACUUACUCAAAUGUUUAAAAAGGCACUGAAUUAAGUAUUAGGACAAACUUUGCAGAAAAAUGUAAGGACAAAAACAACAAACUAAAGUGUCUGUGUCGAACCCUGAAAAUCUUUAUUUUUGCAGUUUUAAUUUGUUUUUUGUAAUUUUUCAUUUGAAUUUUUCCGGAAGCACACUACACUGGUGUCAGAUUGACCAGAAUUCCCAUAAUGCAAUGGGAUGAUUGAUGGCCAUCACUUAAUCACCGGGCAGGACAAUGUGUAAACCAGUGUUAGGAGCCCGUGGCUUGCGAGCCGAGGGCUGUUUUUCCUAUACGUGCUCCCCUGACCUGUCAGCUAUGUAUGAAAUAGCAGCACGGAGGCCAGUCGUGCAGAGGCCGCACCAAAACAGAGGGCCAGAUGUGCCCCGGGGUGAGCAUUCAGCCGGCUGUCGUAUCCGAAUGCGGACGGGAGCAGAGACGGUCCCAAGGUAACCCCAGGUAAACAAACCAGAAAAGUAAAAAGGAGAAAAGGUGGUGAGAGAUACAAUGGCAUGGUUGGCUGCGUAAUUUUAGCCGGUUUAUCUUCUUUACACAGUCAGGAUGACACAUUAAACUCUACUUUCAAUCAUGUUAACAUCUAAAAAUUAUUAUAAUAAUGUUUUACAAUGA